CAGGGGUUCUAGCUCUCAGGUAAAUACAGAGUUCAAUACACAGGUGAGUAUUCACAGGGCUAAGCUGUUAGCGUGCAGGGGUUCUAGCUCUCAAGUAAGUACAGUGUUCCAUACACAGGUGAGUAUUCACAGGGCUGGGCUGUUAAUGUGCAGAGGUUCUAGCUCUCAGGUAAAUACAGUGUUCGAUACACAGGUGGGUAUUCACAGGGCUGGGCUGUUAGCGUGCAGGGGUUCUAGCUCUCAGGUAAGUACAGUGUUCGAUACACAGGUAAGUAUUCACAGGGCUGAGCUGUUAGCGUGCAGGGGUUCUAGCUCUCAAUGUAAGUACAGUGUUCCAUACACAGGUGGGUAUUCACAGGGCUGAGCUGUUAGCGUGCAGGGGUUCUAGCUCUCAAGUAAGUACAGUGUUCAAUACACAGGUGAGUAUUCACGGGGCUGGGCUGUUAAUACGCUACUCACCACUGAAGAUAUUCAGAGGUCUGUAUUCCAAGCAGAUACGGGUUUAGUCGAUGACUGACGGCUGGUGGGCCUUACAGAUGAAACUGCAAACAAUACUGGGCUUCCCGC
Long non-coding RNA from Carassius gibelio (silver crucian carp), 567 nucleotides. RefSeq lists it as uncharacterized. Lineage: Eukaryota; Metazoa; Chordata; Actinopteri; Cypriniformes; Cyprinidae. The transcript is spliced from 3 exons. The record is from RefSeq and is a predicted model, not a curated record.